RNAcentral lists this non-coding RNA (23 nucleotides) under Cricetulus griseus (Chinese hamster). The record is from RNAcentral. Lineage: Eukaryota; Metazoa; Chordata; Mammalia; Rodentia; Cricetidae.
UCCGGUGGGCGCGGGCUGUCGCC